RNAcentral lists this ribosomal RNA (460 nucleotides) under uncultured bacterium. RNAcentral describes it as "partial 16S ribosomal RNA". It matches the Rfam family "Bacterial small subunit ribosomal RNA", at positions 338 to 795 of the family's 1533-position model. The record is from RNAcentral.
CCUACGGGUGGCAGCAGUGAGGAAUAUUGGUCAAUGGGCGCGAGUCUGAACCAGCCAAGUAGCGUGAAGGAUGACUGCCCUACGGGUUGUAAACUUCUUUUAUAUAGGAAUAAAGUGAUGCACGUGUGCCUUUUUGUAUGUACUAUAUGAAUAAGGAUCGGCUAACUCCGUGCCAGCAGCCGCGGUAAUACGGAGGAUCCGAGCGUUAUCCGGUUUUAUUGGGGUUAAAGGGAGCGUAGGUGGAUUGUUAAGUCAGUUGUGAAAGUUUGCGGCUCAACCGUAAAAUUGCAGUUGAUACUGGCAGUCUUGAGUACAGUUGAGGUGGGCGGAAUUCGUGGUGUAGCGGUGAAAUGCUUAGAUAUCACGAAGAACUCCGAUUGCGAAGGCAGCUCACUAAACUGCCACUGACAUUGAGGCUCGAAAGUGUGGGUAUCAAACAGGAUUAGAUACCCCAGUAGUC